This 496-nucleotide ribosomal RNA is filed under the name uncultured bacterium. Its description in RNAcentral is "partial 16S ribosomal RNA". It matches the Rfam family "Bacterial small subunit ribosomal RNA", at positions 29 to 507 of the family's 1533-position model. The record is from RNAcentral.
AUGAACGCUGGCGGCGUGCCUAAUACAUGCAAGUCGAGCGCACAGACGAGGAGCUUGCUCCUCUGACGUUAGCGGCGGACGGGUGAGUAACACGUGGAUAACCUACCUAUAAGACUGGGAUAACUUCGGGAAACCGGAGCUAAUACCGGAUAAUAUAUUGAACCGCAUGGUUCAAUAGUGAAAGACGGUUUUGCUGUCACUUAUAUAUGGAUCCGCGCCGCAUUAGCUAGUUGGUAAGGUAACGGCUUACCAAGGCAACGAUGCGUAGCCGACCUGAGAGGGUGAUCGGCCACACUGGAACUGAGACACGGUCCAGACUCCUACGGGAGGCAGCAGUAGGGAAUCUUCCGCAAUGGGCGAAAGCCUGACGGAGCAACGCCGCGUGAGUGAUGAAGGUCUUCGGAUCGUAAAACUCUGUUAUUAGGGAAGAACAAAUGUGUAAGUAACUAUGCACGUCUUGACGGUACCUAAUCAGAAAGCCACGGCUAACUACGUG